This 497-nucleotide ribosomal RNA is filed under the name uncultured bacterium. RNAcentral describes it as "partial 16S ribosomal RNA". It matches the Rfam family "Bacterial small subunit ribosomal RNA", at positions 28 to 507 of the family's 1533-position model. The record is from RNAcentral.
GAUGAACGCUGGCGGCGUGCCUAAUACAUGCAAGUCGAGCGAACGGACGAGGAGCUUGCUUUUCUGAUGUUAGCGGCGGACGGGUGAGUAACACGUGGAUAACCUACCUAUAAGACUGGGAUAACUUCGGGAAACCGGAGCUAAUACCGGAUAAUAUUUUGAACCGCAUGGUUCAAAAGUGAAAGACGGUCUUGCUGUCACUUAUAGAUGGAUCCGCGCUGCAUUAGCUAGUUGGUAAGGUAACGGCUUACCAAGGCAACGAUGCAUAGCCGACCUGAGAGGGUGAUCGGCCACACUGGAACUGAGACACGGUCCAGACUCCUAUGGGAGGCAGCAGUAGGGAAUCUUCCGCAAUGGGCGAAAGCCUGACGGAGCAACGCCGCGUGAGUGAUGAAGGUCUUCGGAUCGUAAAACUCUGUUAUUAGGGAAGAACAUAUGUGUAAGUAACUGUGCACAUCUUGACGGUACCUAAUCAGAAAGCCACGGCUAACUACGUG